CCUGCCAGUAGUCAUAUGCUUGUCUCAAAGAUUAAGCCAUGCAAGUCUGAGUAUAAUUGUUUUACGGUGAAACUGCGAAUGGCUCAUUAAAUCAGUUAUAGUUUAUUUGAUGCUAUAGGUCGAAAGGCCACUACAUGGAUAUCUGUAGUAACAUAGAGCUAAUACAUGCAAUAUAGUCUGACUUUUUGGAAGGACUAGCACUUAUUAGAUAUUAAACCAAUCCCAGCAAUGGGUUUCUUGGUGAUUCAUAGUAACUGAACAAAUCACAUAGUCUUGUACUGGUGAUGUUUCAUUCAAAUUUCUGCCCUAUCAACUAGAUGGUAGUAUAUAGGACUACCAUGGUUGUAACGGGUAACGGAGGAUUAGGGUUUGAUUCCGGAGAAGGAGCAUGAGAAACGGCUACUAUUUCUAAGGAAAGCAGCUAGGC
Molecule: ribosomal RNA, 427 nt
Filed under: uncultured eukaryote
Lineage: Eukaryota
Description: SSU rRNA
Rfam family: Eukaryotic small subunit ribosomal RNA
Source: RNAcentral